GUUCCUACGGGAGGCAGCAGUGGGGAAUAUUGCACAAUGGGGGGAACCCUGAUGCAGCGACGCCGCGUGGGUGAGGAAGUACUUCGGUAUGUAAAGCCCUAUCAGCAGGGAAGAAAAUGACGGUACCUGACUAAGAAGCCCCGGCUAACUACGUGCCAGCAGCCGCGGUAAUACGUAGGGGGCAAGCGUUAUCCGGAUUUACUGGGUGUAAAGGGAGCGUAGACGGCAGCGCAAGUCUGGAGUGAAAUGCCGGGGCUCAACCCCGGAACUGCUUUGGAAACUGUGCGGCUCGAGUGCGGGAGAGG
Molecule: ribosomal RNA, 305 nt
Filed under: uncultured bacterium
Lineage: Bacteria
Description: bacterial SSU rRNA
Rfam family: Bacterial small subunit ribosomal RNA
Source: RNAcentral